UACGUAGGGUGCAAGCGUUGUCCGGAAUUAUUGGGCGUAAAGAGCUCGUAGGCGGUUUGUCGCGUCGAAUGUGAAAACCCGGGGCUCAACCCCGGGCCUGCAUUCGAUACGGGCAGACUAGAGUUCGGUAGGGGAGUCUGGAAUUCCUGGUGUAGCGGUGAAAUGCGCAGAUAUCGGGAGGAACACCGGUGGCGAAGGCGGUUCUCUGGGCCUGUACUGACGCUGAGGAGCGAAAGCGUGGGGAGCGAACAGG
Molecule: ribosomal RNA, 253 nt
Filed under: uncultured bacterium
Lineage: Bacteria
Description: partial 16S ribosomal RNA
Rfam family: Bacterial small subunit ribosomal RNA
Source: RNAcentral